Molecule: ribosomal RNA, 620 nt
Filed under: Lipomyces tetrasporus
Lineage: Eukaryota; Fungi; Ascomycota; Lipomycetes; Lipomycetales; Lipomycetaceae
Description: LSU rRNA
Rfam family: Eukaryotic large subunit ribosomal RNA
Source: RNAcentral
GAAACCAACAGGGAUUGCCUUAGUAACUGCGAGUGAAGCGGCAAGAGCUCAAAUUUGAAAUCUGGCACCUUCGGUGUCCGAGUUGUAAUUUGUAGAAGCAUCUUUUGGAUUGGUCCUUGCAUAUGUUCCUUGGAACAGGACAUCAUAGAGGGUGAGAAUCCCGUUCAUGGUGGGGAAUCCAAUUCUUUGUAAAGUGCUUUCGAAGAGUCGAGUUGUUUGGGAAUGCAGCUCUAAGUGGGUGGUAAAUUCCAUCUAAAGCUAAAUAUUGGCGAGAGACCGAUAGCGAACAAGUACAGUGAUGGAAAGAUGAAAAGAACUCCGAAAGGAGAGUGAAAAAGGACGUGAAAUUGUUGAAAGGGAAGUGCUUGAGAUCAGUCUUAAGGUUUAGUGAUCAGUCUUCCUUUUGGUUGGUGCACUCACUAUUUCUUAGGCCAACAUCAGUUUUCGCGGCAGGAUAAUGACAUUGGAAUGUGGCUCUUUCGGGAGUGUUAUAGCCUUUGUUGAUACUGCCUGCUUAGACUGAGGACCGCGCUUUUGCUAGGAUGUUGGCAUAAUGAUCUUAAGCAGCCCGUCUUGAAACACGGACCAAGGAGUCUAACAACUAUGCGAGUGUUGGUUGU